GAUCCUGGCUCAGGAUGAACGCUGGCGGCGUGCCUAACACAUGCAAGUUGAGCGAUUUACUUCGGUAAAGAGCGGCGGACGGGUGAGUAACGCGUGGGUAACCUACCCUGUACACACGGAUAACAUACCGAAAGGUAUGCUAAUACGGGAUAAUAUAUUUGAGAGGCAUCUCUUAAAUAUCAAAGGUGAGCCAGUACAGGAUGGACCCGCGUCUGAUUAGCUAGUUGGUAAGGUAACGGCUUACCAAGGCGACGAUCAGUAGCCGACCUGAGAGGGUGAUCGGCCACAUUGGAACUGAGACACGGUCCAAACUCCUACGGGAGGCAGCAGUGGGGAAUAUUGCACAAUGGGCGAAAGCCUGAUGCAGCAACGCCGCGUGAGUGAUGAAGGCCUUCGGGUCGUAAAACUCUGUCCUCAAGGAAGAUAAUGACGGUACUUGAGGAGGAAGCCCCGGCUAACUACGUGCCAGCAGCCGCGGUAAUACGUAGGGGGCUAGCGUUAUCCGGAUUUACUGGGCGUAAAGGGUGCGUAGG
This 533-nucleotide ribosomal RNA is filed under the name Clostridioides difficile. RNAcentral's name for it is "bacterial SSU rRNA". It matches the Rfam family "Bacterial small subunit ribosomal RNA", at positions 15 to 575 of the family's 1533-position model. The record is from RNAcentral. Lineage: Bacteria; Bacillati; Bacillota; Clostridia; Peptostreptococcales; Peptostreptococcaceae.